RNAcentral lists this ribosomal RNA (376 nucleotides) under uncultured bacterium. Its description in RNAcentral is "bacterial SSU rRNA". It matches the Rfam family "Bacterial small subunit ribosomal RNA", at positions 523 to 898 of the family's 1533-position model. The record is from RNAcentral.
AUACGUAGGGGGCAAGCGUUGUCCGGAAUUAUUGGGCGUAAAGCGCGCGCAGGCGGUUCUUUAAGUCUGGUGUUUAAGUGCGGGGCUCAACCCCCGUGACGCACUGGAAACUGGGGGACUUGAGUGCAGAAGAGGAGAGCGGAAUUCCACGUGUAGCGGUGAAAUGCGUAGAGAUGUGGAGGAACACCAGUGGCGAAGGCGGCUCUCUGGCCUGUAACUGACGCUGAGGCGCGAAAGCGUGGGGAGCAAACAGGAUUAGAUACCCUGGUAGUCCACGCCGUAAACGAUGAGUGCUAGGUGUCGGAGGGGUCCACCCUGCGGUGCCGAAGUCAACACAUUAAGCACUCCGCCUGGGGAGUACGGUCGCAAGACUGAA